AUGAGAUGUUGGAGACCAUGGAAUCUGGCACACAAAGAAAGGAGAUGGUCCUGGUUUCUUGGGAUAAAGCUUUCAUAUGAAGCUGACUCUUCAGGCUUUCUCUGUAAGAUACCUAAUACAAAACAAAACCAAAAUCAAAUCUCCUACAAUCUUUCUGUGUGUGUGUGUAGCUCUGCAUUAAUUAAUAUUUUCAUUUCUGUUUAUCAGAAAUCCACAUGCAGUGAUUUUAAUGAUAAUUUUCUUUUGAGAAUACUUAGUGUGAGUUGCAUGGUCAGAAAAGUAGAUAAAGUUGCCUUUUAAAACAGAUAUUAAGAUAUCUGAUGAAAUUGCACAUUUGUGCAUUAUAACAAACCAGUGGGCAAGUGAAGACAUAAGAUAACCCAGAUGUUUUGAGGUUGUUUAAAUCUGUCCUUACCUUUACUCAGUGCUGUAGAAAUGUCAGAUAACAGUUUCUCCCAUUACAAGAAGGAAAGAAGUUCAGAGGAGCCAGAGUACUUGUAUUGUUUCUGUCUGGGUAAAAUUCACGUCUGUGGAGUUGAUCGACACAAAAAGACAUUGAGACAUCUGAAGAUGAUCACUGAGGACCUGCUUAAAUCUUUGAGCUUGAUCUCUGAACCCCCAAAUCCCUCAGAUUUAUACAGGCACUGGGGAAGUUCUGUGGUCAGUGCAAUCCUGGGGGCAAAGGAAAACAAUUUCUCCAAGUCCUUGUAAUGUGUUAACCUACUACACUGACUCUCUGGAUUUUAAUGCUGGAUUUCUCAUCUGAAAGAGAGAAUUUGAUCAAUUGAUCUUUACUCUGUCCAACUCUCUCAGACCAUUUCGGUACUGUAUUUCUGCUGUACAGUCCCCGUUCACUUUCUAUAGUCCAUCAGAUCCUACCACUUGGGCUUUUAUUUAUUUGUGGUCUAUCAACAUCAAUGAAGCCUUGACUGCUCCCAUCUCUCUCCCAGCUGAUUUUUAGCACAUUUUCCUCACAAAAUUCAUUUAAAUCUCAGAAAUUCUUCUGCAUCCUGCCUCCUCUGACCCCAGAGGUUCUUAAUAGUUUCUUUAGAGAUAAAAUUAUCAAGCCUGUAAUAUGAUCUUAUUCCUCUCUUGCUUAUUUCAUUCAUUGCUUAUCCUUCAUUUCUCCUUUCU
This 1134-nucleotide long non-coding RNA is filed under the name Anser cygnoides (Swan goose). Its description in RNAcentral is "lncRNA (ENSACDG00005005300.1)". The record is from RNAcentral. Lineage: Eukaryota; Metazoa; Chordata; Aves; Anseriformes; Anatidae.